This 2173-nucleotide unclassified non-coding RNA is filed under the name Hevea brasiliensis (rubber tree). Lineage: Eukaryota; Viridiplantae; Streptophyta; Magnoliopsida; Malpighiales; Euphorbiaceae. The record is from RNAcentral.
CUCAGACGGCACACUUUCAAACUGAGCCUUAGUAGCAUACUUAGAAAUGUGAAUUCUAUUACGCGCAGCUGAGUUUGCUGAACAUUUUUUGGUUUAUCAUCUUUCUUUAAGUCGUUGUCUCUUUUACAAGAUAAGCAUAUUUCCAUAACUCGAGUGUGGAGAUCCAUGUGAAGAUGACGAGAAAUUUUGUAUUCUGGAUUUGAAGAGAAAUACGAAGAAUAGAUAUAUCAUGCUAUAAAUACAACUACUUGUGACACCAUAUACUACAACCUGCUCCCAUUUUUGCGUAUGGACAAGAACAAGAAAUGGCUAAGCUACAUUCUUCCAGCCUAUUCUGUAUCUUUCUCUUCCUCUUCCUCCUUGUCUCCACUGGCAUGAUCCAUCAUCAAUCUUUUUCCUAUGUCUCUUCAGUUAUCUUUGACAUGUGUCAUCUCCUUGCCAGUAGGAACUUGUGCGUGUGUGUGUGUCUGUGUGUUUGCAUAUUGAAAAUUCAUGAAUGUAUUCUGAUAUUAUGUUUUGUGUAAUGCAGAGAUGCCAGUGACAAAAGCAGAAGUUUGCCAGAGGCUCAGCAAAACAUGGUCAGGAUUUGCUAAGCACUCAAGCCCUGUUGUCAUGAUUUGAUCACCAAGUUUCAUUAUCCGACUCCAUAUGAAUGAUGCUACUACUACCUAAGUGUGCCCGGUAAUGGUAUGAGGUAUCUGCUAAAUAAGCCAUCCAUGGCUCUAUGGGUUGCAACUAUGUCCUCAGUUUCAAGAAUAUUAUUGACAAUAUCAACAAUGUUUAUGUUCUAUGUCCUCAAUGCCAAUAAAUUGUAACUGAAGGUAAUCCUUACCUAUCCUAAAUAUGUUCGUCUCCAUGUCCACAAACCCACACAAACAUGGCUCCCAUAUAUCAAACGAAAACAAAUAUUAGGAGGGGAAGAAAAUCUCCUGGAAGUUCCAUUUCAAUACCGUUUUUAAGAGAUGAAGGUAAAAAAUGGACAGGUUAAAAAUCAAGUAUAAAAGGACAACAACCAUCUUAACUGCAUCCAACAACAGUACCAUCUUCAUUCGACAGGAUUUCACAUCCUCUUCAAACAAGCAUAAUCCCAUGAUCAAAGAUAGGUUAAAUAAGAAGUCCUUGCUUAACAGUUUUCAAGAAUUCCAUAACAUGUUGGCAGUAAAUUCACAACCCAUUGAAUCAAACAGAACGCAAACAACAAAACAUUUGCAGGACAGAAAAUCAUCGUUGUUUAAUAUUUGUAAGUAAUUCCAUGACAUCUCUUUCAUCCUCUCAAGUAUGAUUUACCAAGCAUGUUUCAGUGCCUUAUCAUUAGACAUUGUUCAAAAAUGUGAAGUUACUUUUAGCAUAGCAUGAUGUGCAAUCUAUCCCAAAACUGUAACCUUUUUUGGCUUCCUGAAAAUUCAAAUAGAUCCCUCAAAUAUUGCAUAGCAUGCUAAAAAUGAGUUAUAAUUCAAUUCAAUUUGUUGUAUUUUGGUGCAAUUUUCAGUAACUGAACCCAUGCAUAAGCAUCAAGAUUCAACAGAUUGUUGCAUUACAGAAGCAACAAAAGCUAAACACAUGUUAGGCACAAUUUCAACUCCAAACUUUGCAUUUCAUCAAACAACUAACAAUCGAAUAACAAACACCAAAUAAACACAUACCCUUUUUAACUCGAUCUCUUGUUUCUAUUUCUUCUUGCCUUAGCCAGCGGAUUUGCGCCUAGAGGGCAACACAAUUUCACCUUUAAAAACAGGGAUUUCCACAAUCUGCGAGAGCUCACCGAAUUUCUUGCGGAACUUCUCGACCUGGUCAGCGUCUACAACGACGGCCAAGCGGUUUCCGACGUAGAAUGGGUGGUUGCCGGACCAAACUUCCACUACGUACUCCUUCUUGGCCCCACCGGUGGUCAUCACCAGUUCCCCAUUGCAGUACACCUUCGACCUCGUAGAAUUGCAGGUGUAUGUCCUUCUUCCAGCGCGUCACCUGCAGUGCAGAAUUCCCCAAUGCACUGACCUUCACCCACAGCCAACAAUAACGAACAAAUCCAAAUAAACUAAAAACAAUGUGUGUACAGGCAGAGAGGUUCAUUGAGUGGAAGUUGAUAUAAUCUUCCUGAGGGGUAGAAGUGGAGGAUAAGGAGGUUUAAUCUGCAGGAAUGUGAGAGUUGGACAAAGCGCCAUUUAUUUGGUGG